RNAcentral lists this ribosomal RNA (795 nucleotides) under uncultured bacterium. RNAcentral describes it as "bacterial SSU rRNA". It matches the Rfam family "Bacterial small subunit ribosomal RNA", at positions 8 to 796 of the family's 1533-position model. The record is from RNAcentral.
AGAGUUUGAUCAUGGCUCAGAUUGAACGCUGGCGGCGUGCUUAACACAUGCAAGUCGAGCGGUAACAGGUGUAGCAAUACAUGCUGACGAGCGGCGAACGGGUGAGUAAUGCUUCGGAAUCUACCUAGUAGUGGGGAACAACUAACCGAAAGGUUAGCUAAUGCCGCAUACGACCUACGGGUGAAAGCGGGGGAUCGCAAGACCUCGCGCUAUUGGAUGAGCCGAAGUCGGAUUAGCUAGUUGGUAGGGUAACGGCCUACCAAGGCGACAAUCCGUAGCUGGUCUGAGAGGACGACCAGCCACACUGGGACUGAGACACGGCCCAGACUCCUACGGGAGGCAGCAGUGGGGAAUAUUGGACAAUGGGGGAAACCCUGAUCCAGCGACGCCGCGUGUGUGAAGAAGGCCUGCGGGUUGUAAAGCACUUUUAGUGGGGAUGAAAAGCCCAGGGCUAAUACCCUUGGGUCUUGACCUAACCCAAAGAAAAAGCACCGGCUAACUCUGUGCCAGCAGCCGCGGUAAUACAGAGGGUGCGAGCGUUAAUCGGAAUUACUGGGCGUAAAGCGUGCGUAGACGGUUUCGUAAGUCGGGUGUGAAAUCCCCGGGCUCAACCUGGGAAUUGCAUUCGAGACUGCGAGGCUAGGGUGCGGAAGAGGGAAGCGGAAUUUCCGGUGUAGCGGUGAAAUGCGUAGAUAUCGGAAGGAACAUCAGUGGCGAAGGCGGCUUCCUGGUCCAGCACCGACGUUCAGGCACGAAAGCGUGGGGAGCAAACAGGAUUAGAUACCCUAGUAGUCC